RNAcentral lists this ribosomal RNA (488 nucleotides) under uncultured bacterium. RNAcentral's name for it is "bacterial SSU rRNA". It matches the Rfam family "Bacterial small subunit ribosomal RNA", at positions 791 to 1284 of the family's 1533-position model. The record is from RNAcentral.
UAGUCCACGCUGUAAACGAUCAUCACUCGCUGUUGGCGAUACACUGUCAGCGGCCAAGCGAAAGUAUUAAGUGAUGCACCUGGGGAGUACGGUCGCAAGAUUGAAACUCAAAGGAAUUGACGGGGCCCGCACAAGCGGUGGAGCAUGUGGUUUAAUUCGAUGAUACGCGAGGAACCUUACCAGGGCUUAAAUGCAGAACGACAGUUUGGGAAACCAGAUUUUCUUCGGACGUUUUGCAAGGUGCUGCAUGGUUGUCGUCAGCUCGUGCCGUGAGGUGUCAGGUUAAGUCCUAUAACGAGCGCAACCCCUAUCUUUAGUUGCCAGCGGUUCGGCCGGGGACUCUAAAGAAACUGCCAGCGCAAGCUGAGAGGAAGGGUGGGGAUGACGUCAAAUCAUCACGGCCCUUACGUCCUGGGGCUACACACGUGCUACAAUGGUAACGACAGAGGGCAGCCACUACGCGAGUAGGAGCGAAUCCUUAAAACGUU